CUCCCCAAUUCUCCUCCUUCUUCCCCUUUGUAUCUCAAUUUAUACAUCGUCAUCUUCUCCCCACCAAACCAUCUUAGAUUUCUCAAGCAGGACCAGCAGUCGCCGGAACAAGGAGGGAUGUCGACCACGACGAUGUUAAUUCCCUUUCUUGCGUCGCAACCUCUGACUCCUUCUCCUCUGCCGUCCCUGACGAUCAGGCCUUUCCUCCGAACGACACCAUUGCUGCCGCUUCCUCCCUUGCAUUCAUCUUCAACAUCUUCAGAUAUGAAAACGGAAUCUCAGAAAAUCUCCCACCAGACCAAAAUUUGAAGAAGGGAUUCAGACGGCUUCGUUUCGCGAAUCGGAUCAUCUGAGCGAGGAUUGACCCUUCAACAUAUAAUUGAUUGAAAACUCAUUAAAACCGAGUGUGUUUUGCUUCUACUUUGUUUAAUUGAUUUCCGCCAUUGAAGCUUCAUUCUCGGUACUUUGUUGUGCAUGAAGAAGAAGAAGUCGUUUGUUUGUUUGAGAUCUUAUUAAAUUAUCUUUAAUUAUUAUUGUAAUGGGUUUAAGUUGAUAAAAGCCUAUAUUUGAUAAAAAUAUGUGGUUGAUUUGGGUA
RNAcentral lists this long non-coding RNA (595 nucleotides) under Linum usitatissimum (flax). RNAcentral describes it as "long non-coding RNA (LUSI_LNC004549)". The record is from RNAcentral. Lineage: Eukaryota; Viridiplantae; Streptophyta; Magnoliopsida; Malpighiales; Linaceae.